AGAAAACCUGUUUUGUUAGAGUUAUUACUUAGAAUUUUUAAAGAUGCUAGCUUAUUUUGUUUUUCAAAAUUUUAUGCUAUUUUGUUUCAAUGUGCUUGUUCAAUAGCGUUAUUUAUAGCUUUAGCAAUUAGUGAGUUAAUUACUGGGAGCAAAUAUUUUCCUUCAGAUGCAAAGUGAUGAUAUUGUAGUUUCUGAUGAUAAGAUCUUGGUUUUUCUGUCUAGGACCAAAACUGACCAGGAGGGUAAAGG
Molecule: non-coding RNA, 249 nt
Organism: Pelobates cultripes (western spadefoot toad)
Lineage: Eukaryota; Metazoa; Chordata; Amphibia; Anura; Pelobatidae
Source: the annotation of a GenBank genome assembly